UUAAAUAGUUUUACUGGAAUAAUCGAAAUACUUCCUUAGCAAAAGUUUAAUUAUUUUUGGCGAGCUUUAAUUUACUGGCAUUGGCACGUUAGGGUGUUAGGAACGGAGGUCUGGUGGAUAAGUACUACAACGGGGUUGUUGUUGUUGUUGCUGGAGUGACAGUGACAGUCCAUGGCCAGACAUAAAUCUGGCCGACUGUAGUGGGAUCGACUAGAAUGGGGUACUAGGGGUCAACGAACUUUGGAACAAAAAAAAUGCUAAAUCUCUUUUAAGAUCCGACUGAAAAAAUGUUUUGGCUCAAAUUUUUCUGACGGAGCGGGUCGCAUUUUUACAUUUUUCGGUGACACCUACAUGCGCCAAUAAAAUUGUUUGUUUAAAUAGUUUUAAUGGAAUGAUCGAAAUAUUUCCUUAGCAAAGUUUAAUGAUUUUUGAUGGGAUUUAAUUUACUGGCAUUUGGGUGGUACGUUAGUAAUAAAAAA
Rhagoletis zephyria (snowberry fruit fly) is the source of this 479-nucleotide long non-coding RNA. RefSeq lists it as uncharacterized. Lineage: Eukaryota; Metazoa; Arthropoda; Insecta; Diptera; Tephritidae. The record is from RefSeq and is a predicted model, not a curated record.